This 253-nucleotide ribosomal RNA is filed under the name uncultured bacterium. Its description in RNAcentral is "partial 16S ribosomal RNA". It matches the Rfam family "Bacterial small subunit ribosomal RNA", at positions 524 to 776 of the family's 1533-position model. The record is from RNAcentral.
UACGUAGGUGGCAAGCGUUAUCCGGAUUUACUUGGUGUAAAGGGCGUGUAGGCGGGAAAGCAAGUCAGAUGUGAAAACCAUGGGCUCAACCUGUGGCCUGCAUUUGAAACUGUUUUUCUUGAAUACUGGAGAGGCAGACGGAAUUCCUAGUGUAGCGGUGAAAUGCGUAGAUAUUAGGAGGAACACCAGUGGCGAAGGCGGUCUGCUGGACAGCAACUGACGCUGAGGCGCGAAAGCGUGGGGAGCAAACAGG